RNAcentral lists this transfer RNA (62 nucleotides) under Monodelphis domestica (gray short-tailed opossum). The record is from Rfam by way of RNAcentral. Lineage: Eukaryota; Metazoa; Chordata; Mammalia; Didelphimorphia; Didelphidae.
UUUGGCACAGUAGGUAGCGCAUCAGUCUUGCAAGCUGAAGGUCCAGGAGUUCAAGCCUGGAA